This 465-nucleotide ribosomal RNA is filed under the name Vreelandella stevensii. Its description in RNAcentral is "partial 16S ribosomal RNA". It matches the Rfam family "Bacterial small subunit ribosomal RNA", at positions 338 to 795 of the family's 1533-position model. The record is from RNAcentral. Lineage: Bacteria; Pseudomonadati; Pseudomonadota; Gammaproteobacteria; Oceanospirillales; Halomonadaceae.
CCUACGGGAGGCUGCAGUGGGGAAUAUUGGACAAUGGGGGCAACCCUGAUCCAGCCAUGCCGCGUGUGUGAAGAAGGCCCUCGGGUUGUAAAGCACUUUCAGUGAGGAAGAACGCCUGGUGGUUAAUACCCAUCAGGAAAGACAUCACUCACAGAAGAAGCACCGGCUAACUCCGUGCCAGCAGCCGCGGUAAUACGGAGGGUGCGAGCGUUAAUCGGAAUUACUGGGCGUAAAGCGCGCGUAGGUGGCUUGAUAAGCCGGUUGUGAAAGCCCCGGGCUCAACCUGGGAACGGCAUCCGGAACUGUCAAGCUAGAGUGCAGGAGAGGAAGGUAGAAUUCCCGGUGUAGCGGCGAAAUGCGUAGAGAUCGGGAGGAAUACCAGUGGCGAAGGCGGCCUUCUGGACUGACACUGACACUGAGGUGCGAAAGCGUGGGUAGCAAACAGGAUUAGAUACCCUAGUAGUC